This 482-nucleotide ribosomal RNA is filed under the name uncultured bacterium. Its description in RNAcentral is "bacterial SSU rRNA". It matches the Rfam family "Bacterial small subunit ribosomal RNA", at positions 1 to 507 of the family's 1533-position model. The record is from RNAcentral.
AGACGUCUACGAGUUGAUCCUGGCUCAGGACGAACGCUGGCGGUGUGCCUCACACAUGCAAGUCGAGCGGACGAAGAUUGAAGCUUGCUUCAGUCCUAGUUAGCGGCGGACGGGUGAGUAACACGUAGGAAUCUGCCUUCAGGCGGGGGACAACGGAACGAAAGUUGCGCUAAUACCCCAUAUGCGAGUAAUCGUAAAAGGAGCAAUCCACCGGAAGAUGAGCCUGCGUCCGAUUAGCUAGUUGGUAGGGUAAAAGCCUACCAAGGCUACGAUCGGUAGUUGGUCUGAGAGGAUGAUCAGCCACAAUGGAACUGAGACACGGUCCAUACUCCUACGGGAGGCAGCAGUGGGGAAUUUUACGCAAUGGGCGAAAGCCUGACGUAGCGACACCGCGUGAGCGAAGAAGCCUUUUGGGGUGUAAAGCUCUUUCAACGGUGAAGAUAAUGACGGUAACCGUAGAAGAAGCCCCGGNUAACUUCGUG